This 583-nucleotide ribosomal RNA is filed under the name uncultured bacterium. Its description in RNAcentral is "partial 16S ribosomal RNA". It matches the Rfam family "Bacterial small subunit ribosomal RNA", at positions 356 to 937 of the family's 1533-position model. The record is from RNAcentral.
UGGGAAUUUUGGACAAUGGGCGCAAGCCUGAUCCAGCCAUGCCGCGUGCGGGAAGAAGGCCUUCGGGUUGUAAACCGCUUUUGUCAGGGAAGAAAUCUUCUGAGUUAAUACCUCGGGAGGAUGACGGUACCUGAAGAAUAAGCACCGGCUAACUACGUGCCAGCAGCCGCGGUAAUACGUAGGGUGCAAGCAUUAAUCGGAAUUACUGGCGUAAAGCGUGCGCAGGCGGUUUUGUAAGACAGAGGUGAAAUCCCCGGGCUCAACCUGGGAACUGCCUUUGUGACUGCAAGGCUUGAGUGCGGCAGAGGGGGAUGGAAUUCCGCGUGUAGCAGUGAAAUGCGUAGAUAUGCGGAGGAACACCGAUGGCGAAGGCAAUCCCCUGGGCCUGCACUGACGCUCAUGCACGAAAGCGUGGGGAGCAAAACAGGAUUAGAUACCCUGGUAGUCCACGCCCUAAACGAUGUCAACUGGUUGUUGGGAAGGUUCCUUCUCAGUAACGUAGCUAACGCGUGAAGUUGACCGCCUGGGGAGUACGGCCGCAAGGUUGAAACUCAAAUGAAUUGACGGGGUCAUAGCUGUUUCC